CCUACGGGUGGCUGCAGUCGAGGAUCUUCGGCAAUGGGCGCAAGCCUGACCGAGCGACGCCGCGUGCGGGAUGAAGGCCUUCGGGUUGUAAACCGCUGUCAGAGAGGCGGCCUAUUCUCAGAGGAAGUGCGGGCUAAGUCCGUGCCAGCAGCCGCGGUAACACGGACCGCACGAACGUUAUUCGGUAUCACUGGGCUUAAAGGGUGCGUAGGCGGCUUGGCAAGUUGGGUGUGAAAGCCCUCGGCUCAACCGAGGAAUUGCGCUCAAUACUGCCGAGCUCGAGAGAGACAGAGGUAAGCGGAACUAAUGGUGGAGCGGUGAAAUGCGUUGAUAUCAUUAGGAACACCGGUGGCGAAGGCGGCUUACUGGGUUUUCUGACGCUGAGGCACGAAAGCCAGGGGAGCGAACGGGAUUAGAUACCCUAGUAGUC
RNAcentral lists this ribosomal RNA (430 nucleotides) under uncultured bacterium. Its description in RNAcentral is "partial 16S ribosomal RNA". It matches the Rfam family "Bacterial small subunit ribosomal RNA", at positions 338 to 795 of the family's 1533-position model. The record is from RNAcentral.